AUAAAAAACCAACGCCCUUCGGGGCUCCUUGGUGAAUCAUAAUAACUAAGCGAAUCGCAUGGCCUUGCGCCGGCGAUGGUUCAUUCAAAUUUCUGCCCUAUCAACUUUCGAUGGUAAGAUAGUGGCUUACCAUGGUGGCAACGGGUAACGGGGAAUUAGGGUUCGAUUCCGGAGAGGGAGCCUGAGAAACGGCUACCACAUCCAAGGAAGGCAGCAGGCGCGCAAAUUACCCAAUCCCGACACGGGGAGGUAGUGACAAUAAAUACUGAUACGGGGCUCUUUUGGGUCUCGUAAUUGGAAUGAGUACAAUCUAAGUCCCUUAACGAGGAACAAUUGGAGGGCAAGUCUGGUGCCAGCAGCCGCGGUAAUUCCAGCUCCAAUAGCGUAUAUUAAAGUUGUUGCAGUUAAAAAGCUCGUAGUUGAACCUUGGGUCUGGCUGACCGGUCCGCCUCACCGCGAGUACUGGUUCGGCUGGGCCUUUCCUUCUGGGGAACCUCAUGGCCUUCACUGGCUGUGG
Molecule: ribosomal RNA, 517 nt
Filed under: uncultured fungus
Lineage: Eukaryota; Fungi
Description: SSU rRNA
Rfam family: Eukaryotic small subunit ribosomal RNA
Source: RNAcentral